GUUUACCUAAUUUACAUAAGUUAUCAUUUUAGUUCUCACUCAGUGAGUGUUGUUUAUGUUGUGAACAGGAAGUGGAAAAUUGUCUGUAGAUACUGAUGAGACCGUUACCUGAAGAUUAGUGACCGGACAGUGAAACCUGUUGAUAGUGAGGGACACGAUAGCGAGGCUGAAGAAUCAUUUAAUUCUUUGAUACAAGAAGAGAGAAACGACAAGUUUACCAUUACCUGAUGGUAGCGACACAACAUUGGAACCUGAUACUGAGGGACCCGACAGCGAGGCUAAAGGAUCAUUUAAUUCUUCGAUACUAGAAGAGAGAAACGAUGAGUUUGUGUAGACUGUUGAAGAUUGUAUAUUUUAAAUGUGUUUUAAUAAAUUGUUUAAAUUGUAA
This is a long non-coding RNA of Macrosteles quadrilineatus (aster leafhopper), 388 nucleotides long. RefSeq lists it as uncharacterized. The transcript has 3 exons. NCBI's taxonomy places the organism in Eukaryota, Metazoa, Arthropoda, Insecta, Hemiptera, Cicadellidae. The record is from RefSeq and is a predicted model, not a curated record.